UGGGGAAUCUUGGACAAUGGGGGCAACCCUGACGCAGCCAUGCCGCGUGAGUGAAGAAGGCCUUAGGGUUGUAAAACGCUUUCACCGGUGAAGAUAAUGACGGUAGCCGGAGAAGAAGCCCCGGCCAAGUCCGUGCCAGCAGCCGCGGUAAUACGGAGGGGGCUAGCGUUGUUCGGAAUUACUGGGCGUAAAGCGCACGUAGGCGGGCUGGUCAGUUGGGGGUGAAAUCCCGGGGCUUAACCUCGGAACUGCCCUAAAUACUACCAGUCUAGAGUUCGAGAGAGGUAAGUGGAAUUCCUAGUGUAGAGGUGAAAUUCGUAGAUAUUAGGAAGAACACCGGUGGCGAAGGCGGCUUACUGGCUCGAUACUGACGCUGAGGUGCGAAAGCGUGGGGAGCAAACAGGAUUAGAUACCCCCGUAGUCC
RNAcentral lists this ribosomal RNA (424 nucleotides) under uncultured prokaryote. RNAcentral's name for it is "bacterial SSU rRNA". It matches the Rfam family "Bacterial small subunit ribosomal RNA", at positions 355 to 796 of the family's 1533-position model. The record is from RNAcentral.